Podarcis lilfordi (Lilford's wall lizard) is the source of this 71-nucleotide non-coding RNA. NCBI's taxonomy places the organism in Eukaryota, Metazoa, Chordata, Lepidosauria, Squamata, Lacertidae. The record is from the annotation of a GenBank genome assembly.
GGUUAGCUCAAUUGGUUAAGAGCGUGGUGCAAAUAAUGCCAAGGUCACAGGUUUGAUCCCUGUAAGGGCCA